RNAcentral lists this ribosomal RNA (506 nucleotides) under uncultured bacterium. Its description in RNAcentral is "bacterial SSU rRNA". It matches the Rfam family "Bacterial small subunit ribosomal RNA", at positions 29 to 524 of the family's 1533-position model. The record is from RNAcentral.
AGUGAACGCUGGCGGCAGGCCUAAUACAUGCAAGUCGAACGGCAGCACAGCAGAGCUUGCUCUGUGGGUGGCGAGUGGCGGACGGGUGAGGAAUACGUGGGAAUCUGCCCAGUCGUGGGGGAUAACGUAGGGAAACUUACGCUAAUACCGCAUGCGCCCUUCGGGGAAAGCCGGGGACCUUCGGGCCUGGCGCGAUUGGAUGAGCCCACGUCGGAUUAGCUAGUUGGCGGGGUAAAGGCCCACCAAGGCGACGAUCCGUAGCUGGUCUGAGAGGAUGAUCAGCCACACUGGAACUGAGACACGGUCCAGACUCCUACGGGAGGCAGCAGUAGGGAAUAUUGGACAAAUGGGCGCAAGCCUGAUCCAGCCAUGCCGCGUGAGUGAAGAAGGCCCUCGGGUUGUAAAGCUCUUUGUCCGGAAAGAAAAGCGCCGGGUUAAUACCCUGGUGUCCUGACGGUACCGGAAGAGUAAGCACCGGCUAACUUCGUGCCAGCAGCCGCGGUAAU